UUUAGACGAAAAAUUUUUACCAGGUUAUUAGUAGUUAUGUUCUUGAAAAUUAAAAAACUUGGCGGUAUUUUAGUCUUUUCAGAGGAACCUGUCACAUAAUUGAUAUUCCACGAUAAUUUUUACUUUUUUUAUUAGUUUGUAUAUCGUCGUUAUUGAAUAUUUUUAUAGAAUUUAAUAUUCAAAAUUCUAUUAAAGAAAAAAAUCAGAUCAAGAUGCAGUUUAUAAAAAAGUGUAGGUGGGUUACAAUAAUUUUAUUUAUACGGAAGGAUUUAUUUAAAAUUUUCUUGAAGGUGGAUUUGAAAGUAAAUUUUAUAAUUUAGUAAAUUUGAUUAAGCUCUAAGAUAUGU
This 347-nucleotide ribosomal RNA is filed under the name Cathartosilvanus sp. BYU CO768. RNAcentral describes it as "partial 12S ribosomal RNA". Lineage: Eukaryota; Metazoa; Arthropoda; Insecta; Coleoptera; Silvanidae. The record is from RNAcentral.